UAUAAAGUUUUGCAUAAUAGACAUAAAAUAAUCAUGUUAUUGGCACAGCAUGAUCAAUAGAUACAUACAGUAUGAUGGAGCAUGGUAUAUUUCACUUCUCCUAUAUAUGAAUAGUUGGAUACAGAAUAUCCAGAUCACUGGAUUGGUCAUGGGGAGUAUAGUUGAGUGGCUGCCACAAUUGCCAGAUCUGACACUCUUAGAUUUCUUUUUAUGGGCCCUUCUAAAGGCAUUGAUGUAUUGAACUCCACUUACUACAGAAACAGAACUAGUUGUUCAUCUUCAUGCUGUGUUUUCUUUAGUAGAUGCUGCAUCGUUCAUGAUUUUUUUGCACUCCAAAUGAGAAUUCUCAUUCUGCAGAGUUUAUGUGAUCCUUACAGGACAUUCUGUAUAGUCAUUCUAUAUUUGAGUGUUGGAUAUAUAAUUUAUAUUUUUAUUAAGUGUUAUAUUAAAAUCUUUUAGUCCUAAAUAUAUAGUAGUUAUCAGAAAAAUUAAAAACAAUAAAAAUAAAUAAAUUUUUCUGUAAGUGAG
This 528-nucleotide long non-coding RNA is filed under the name Androctonus crassicauda. Lineage: Eukaryota; Metazoa; Arthropoda; Arachnida; Scorpiones; Buthidae. The record is from RNAcentral.